Molecule: small nuclear RNA, 107 nt
Organism: Ailuropoda melanoleuca (giant panda)
Lineage: Eukaryota; Metazoa; Chordata; Mammalia; Carnivora; Ursidae
Source: Ensembl
GCGCUGGCUUCAGUGGCACAUAUACUAAAAUUGGAGUUAUACGGAGAAAGUUAGCAUGGCCCCUGCACAAGGAUGACAUGCAAAUUCAUGAAGUGUUUCAUGUUAAA